AAGAGAUCCAAAUUGUGACCAUUUGUAUAGAUACUGUAAAUAGACUUUGUAUUCUGAGAGUAGAGCAGAGGAUUGAGAAGAGGAUAGAGAAGAGGAUAGAGCAGAGGAUAGAGAAGAGGAUAGAGAAGAGGAUAGAGCAGAGGAUAGAGAACAGGAAAGAGCAGAGGAUAGAGAAGAGGAUAGAGCAGAGGAUAGAGAAGAGGAAAGAUAAGAGGAUAGAGAAGAGGAUAGAGCAGGGGAUAGAGAAGAGGAAAGAUAAGAGGAUAGAGAAGAGGAUAGAGCAGGGGAUAGAGAAGAGGAAAGAUAAGAGGAUAGAGAAGAGGAUUGAGAAGAGGAUAGAGAAGAGGAUAGAGAAGAGGAUAGAGAAGAGGAUAGAGAAGAGGAUAGAGCAGAGGAUAGAGAAGAGGAAAGAUAAGAGGAUAGAGAAGAGGAUAGAGCAGGGGAUAGAGAAGAGGAAAGAUAAGAGGAUAGAGAAGAGGAUUGAGAAGAGGAUAGAGAAGAGGAUAGAGAAGAGGAUAGAGAACAGGAAAGAUAAGAGGAUAGAGAAGAGGAUAGAGCAGGGGAUAGAGAAGAGGAUAGAGAAGAGGAUAGAGAAGAGGAUAGAGCAGGGGAUAGAGAAGAGGAUAGAGAACAGGAAAGAUAAGAGGAAAGAGAAGAGGAUAGAGAAGAGGAUAGAGCAGGGGAUAGAGAAGAGGAUAGAGAACAGGAAAGAUAAGAGGAUAGAGAAGAGGAUAGAGCAGGGGAUAGAGAAGAGGAUAGAGAAGAGGAAAGAUAAGAGGAUAGAGAAGAGGAUAGAGAAGAGGAUAGAGAAGAGGAUAGAGAAGAGGAUAGAGCAGGGGAUAGAGAAGAGGAUAGAGAAGAGGAUAGAGAAGAGGAUAGAGAAGAGGAUAGAGAAGAGGAUAGAGAAGAGGAUAGAGCAGGGGAUAGAGAAGAGGAUAGAGAAGAGGAUAGAGAAGAGGAUAGAGAAGAGGAUAGAGAAGAGGAUAGAGCAGGGGAUAGAGAAGAGGAUAGAGAAGAGGAUAGAGAAGAGGAUAGAGCAGAGGAUAGAGAAGAGGAUAGAGCAGGGGAUAGAGAAGAGGAUAGAGAAUAUGAUAGAGCAGGGGAUAGAGAAGAGGAUAGAGCAGAGGAUAGGGAAGAGGAUAGAGCAGGGGAUAGAGAAGAGGAUGGAGCAGGGGGAUAGAGAAGAGUAUAGAGCAGGGGGAUAGAGAAGGGGAUAUAGAGGAGAAUAGGGAAGAGGAUAGAGCAGAGGAAAGAGAAGAGGAUAGAGAAGAGGAUAGAGAAGAGGAUAGGGAAGAGGAUAGAGAAGAGGAUAGAGAAGAGGAUAGAGCAGGGGAUAGAGAAGAGGAUGAUAGAGAAGAUGAUAGAGCAGGGGAUAGAGAAGAGGAUAGAGAAGAUGAUAGAGAAGAGGAUAGAGAAGAUCAUAGAGAAGAUGAUAGAGAAGAGGAUAGAGAAGAGGAUAGAGCAGGGGAUAGAGAAGAGGAUGAUAGAGAAGCGGAUAGAGCAGGGGAUAGAGCAGAGGAUAGAGAAGAGGAUAGAGAAGAGGAAAGAGAAGAGGAUAGAGAAGAGGAUAGAGAAGAGGAUAGAGCAGAGGAA
Oncorhynchus tshawytscha (Chinook salmon) is the source of this 1593-nucleotide long non-coding RNA. NCBI's taxonomy places the organism in Eukaryota, Metazoa, Chordata, Actinopteri, Salmoniformes, Salmonidae. The record is from Ensembl.